RNAcentral lists this ribosomal RNA (253 nucleotides) under uncultured bacterium. RNAcentral's name for it is "partial 16S ribosomal RNA". It matches the Rfam family "Bacterial small subunit ribosomal RNA", at positions 524 to 776 of the family's 1533-position model. The record is from RNAcentral.
UACGUUUGUCCCAAGCGUUACCCGGAAUCACUGGGUGUAAAGGGUUCGUAGGUGGAAAUUUAAGUCAGAUAUGAAAGACUGAGGCUCAACCUCAAGUUUGUGUUCGAAACUGGAUUUCUAGAAUCAGGGAGAGGUAAGCGGAAUUCUAAGUGUAGGGGUGCAAUCCGUAGAUACUUAGAGGAACACCAAAAGCGAAGGCAGCUUACUGGAACUGUAUUGACGCUCAAGAACGAAAGCGUGGGGAGCGAAAAGG